Molecule: ribosomal RNA, 798 nt
Filed under: Awacaris japonica
Lineage: Eukaryota; Metazoa; Arthropoda; Malacostraca; Amphipoda; Pontogeneiidae
Description: partial 28S ribosomal RNA
Rfam family: Eukaryotic large subunit ribosomal RNA
Source: RNAcentral
GGCUAAAUAUUUCCACAGAACCGAUAGUAAACAAGUACCGCGAGGGAAAGUUGAAAAGCACUCUGAAGAGAGAGUUAAAAGACCGUGAAACCGCUCAGAGUAUAAGCCAAUGGUCAUUCGGAAGGCAGGGUCCGGAUUCCACCCCGGCUGAGCUGAUGCUGUUCAAGGGGCAAGGGUCCAUCGUUUUGUGUCCAGAAAGAAGGCGCUGUCGUGGUAAAAACUAGAACGUGGCAUUGAGUUGAUAGCACACCCGUGAUGAGAAAACUUGCGGGCCCAUAAGAGUGUCAAAAGAUGGAGGCCUCCGCUCUGGUGGAGGCCGAUAUCGUUCGGGCUUGUGCAAGCCGGCGUUUACCGCACACGAACGAGUGGACUACAUACUGCCCACCACAACUCUUUAUGAGGUCAGGCACGCAGGACGUGGCUCGGUUGGUGCUCUGCGCGUUCACCCAGCACAGGGAUCUAGUGUACCGUAAGCAAACACAGCCCGGUAAGCGCGCGCCUAUAGCGCCCGGGUGACCCUGUGCCGGCAGGCACUUCCAUGUCCAUCCAGAGAAGCGUGUUUUUCUUUGAUCCUCUGUGAAGGUUGCUAUUCUGACGCCCCUAAUACCUGCAUUCAUAGUCGAGAUGGCUGUGAGGAGGAGAAACCAGUAGCCUACCCUAUCCCGAUGAAUUCGUCAGCGGAACUGGCAGUUUUUGCGAGGCCGGCUGUGANGANGACGGAUGGCGAAAAGGAUCUCUUUUGGUGGCGGGGUGAUUGGUGUCUUAUUCCGGAGCCAUCGGUCACGUCUCGAAACACGG